RNAcentral lists this ribosomal RNA (478 nucleotides) under uncultured bacterium. Its description in RNAcentral is "partial 16S ribosomal RNA". It matches the Rfam family "Bacterial small subunit ribosomal RNA", at positions 29 to 523 of the family's 1533-position model. The record is from RNAcentral.
AACGAACGCUGGCGGCAUGCCUAACACAUGCAAGUCGAACGGGAAGCGAUCCUUCGGGGUCGUGGAGAGUGGCGCACGGGUGAGUAACACGUAGAUAACCUGCCCUUCAGUCUGGGAUAACCCUCCGAAAGGGGGGCUAAUACUGGAUAAUAAUUUUCGUCGAGUGAUGGAGAUUUGAAAGCUUUAGUGCUGAAGGAGGGGUCUGCGUCCCAUUAGCUAGUUGGUAGGGUAACGGCCUACCAAGGCGACGAUGGGUAGCGGGUCUGAGAGGAUGAUCCGCCACACUGGCACUGAGACACGGGCCAGACUCCUACGGGAGGCAGCAGUGGGGAAUUUUGCGCAAUGGGCGAAAGCCUGACGCAGCAAUGCCGCGUGAGUGAAGAAGGCCUUCGGGUUGUAAAGCUCUUUAUCUGCGGGACGAUAAUGACGGUACCGCAGGAAGAAGCGCCGGCUAACUACGUGCCAGCCGCCGCCGUAA